Molecule: unclassified non-coding RNA, 378 nt
Filed under: uncultured bacterium
Lineage: Bacteria
Description: contains 16S-23S intergenic spacer region
Source: RNAcentral
UCCGGCUUAUCACCGGCAGUCCCCUUAGAGUGCCCAACUAAAUGAUGGCAACUAAGGGCGAGGGUUGCGCUCGUUGCGGGACUUAACCCAACAUCUCACGACACGAGCUGACGACAGCCAUGCAGCACCUGUGCAAAGUGUCCUCGCGGAAACGUACAUCUCUGUACGCGGCACUUCCAUGUCAAGUCCUGGUAAGGUUCUGCGCGUUGCGUCGAAUUAAACCACAUGCUCCACCGCUUGUGCGGGCCCCCGUCAACUCCUUUGAGUUUUAGCCUUGCGGCCGUACUCCCCAGGCGGGGCGCUUAAUGCGUUAGCUGCGGCACGGAGAACGUGGAAGGUUCCCCACACCUAGCGCCCAACGUUUACGGCGUGGACUAC